CACGGGUGAGUAACGCGUAGAUAACCUGUCUUCAUGUCUGGAAUAAUACGCCGAAAGGGGUACUAAUACCGGAUAUUCUUGCUUUUCAUAAGUUAUGCAAGCAAAGGUGGCCUCUGCAUAUGCUACUGCAUGAAGAGGGGUCUGCGUACCAUUAGCUAGUAGGUGGGGUAAUGGCCUACCUAGGCGACGAUGGUUAGCGGGUCUGAGAGGAUGAUCCGCCACACUGGCACUGGAACACGGGCCAGGCUCCUACGGGAGGCAGCAGUGAGGAAUAUUGCGCAAUGGGGGAAACCCUGACGCAGCGACGCCGCGUGAGUGAGGAAGGCCUUCGGGUCGUAAAGCUCUGUCAAGAGGAAAGAAGUGUACAAUGGCUAAUACCUGUUGUAUUUGACGGUACCUCUAAAGGAAGCACCGGCUAACUCCGUGCCAGCAGCUGC
RNAcentral lists this ribosomal RNA (437 nucleotides) under uncultured bacterium. Its description in RNAcentral is "bacterial SSU rRNA". It matches the Rfam family "Bacterial small subunit ribosomal RNA", at positions 100 to 518 of the family's 1533-position model. The record is from RNAcentral.